UAGCUCAGUUGGUAGAGUGCUUGCCUUGCAUGCACAAGACCCUGGGUUCAACCCCCAG
Molecule: transfer RNA, 58 nt
Filed under: Urocitellus parryii (Arctic ground squirrel)
Lineage: Eukaryota; Metazoa; Chordata; Mammalia; Rodentia; Sciuridae
Also listed under: 2 other names
Description: Spermophilus parryii (Arctic ground squirrel) tRNA
Rfam family: tRNA
About the family: Transfer RNA (tRNA) molecules are approximately 80 nucleotides in length. Their secondary structure includes four short double-helical elements and three loops (D, anti-codon, and T loops).
Source: Rfam by way of RNAcentral